RNAcentral lists this ribosomal RNA (274 nucleotides) under uncultured bacterium. RNAcentral's name for it is "partial 16S ribosomal RNA". It matches the Rfam family "Bacterial small subunit ribosomal RNA", at positions 523 to 796 of the family's 1533-position model. The record is from RNAcentral.
AUACGGAGGGGGCUAGCGUUGUUCGGAAUUACUGGGCGUAAAGCGCGCGUAGGCGGUUCGAUAAGUCUGAUGUGAAAGCCCUGGGCUUAACCUGGGAAUGGCAUUGGAUACUGUUGAACUAGAGUGCGGGAGAGGAGAGUGGAAUUCUCGGUGUAGCGGUGAAAUGCGUAGAUAUCGGGAGGAACACCAGUGGCGAAGGCGGCUCUCUGGACUGACACUGACGCUGAGGUGCGAAAGCGCGGGUAGCAAACAGGAUUAGAAACCCGAGUAGUCC